CCUACGGGUGGCAGCAGUAGGGAAUCUUCCACAAUGGACGAAAGUCUGAUGGAGCAACGCCGCGUGAGUGAAGAAGGGUUUCGGCUCGUAAAGCUCUGUUGGUAGUGAAGAAAGAUAGAGGUAGUAACUGGCCUUUAUUUGACGGUAAUUACUUAGAAAGUCACGGCUAACUACGUGCCAGCAGCCGCGGUAAUACGUAGGUGGCAAGCGUUGUCCGGAUUUAUUGGGCGUAAAGCGAGUGCAGGCGGUGCAAUAAGUCUGAUGUGAAAGCCUUCGGCUCAACCGGAGAAUUGCAUCCGAAACUGUUGGACUUGAGUGCAGAAGAGGAGAGUGGAACUCCAUGUGUAGCGGUGAAAUGCGUAGAUAUAUGGAAGAACACCAGUGGCGAAGGCGGCUCUCUGGUCUGCAACUGACGCUGAGGCUCGAAAGCCUGGGUAGCGAACAGGAUUAGAUACCCUUGUAGUC
RNAcentral lists this ribosomal RNA (465 nucleotides) under uncultured bacterium. RNAcentral describes it as "partial 16S ribosomal RNA". It matches the Rfam family "Bacterial small subunit ribosomal RNA", at positions 338 to 795 of the family's 1533-position model. The record is from RNAcentral.